GCCAACAUGGACCAGUAAUCUCAAAGUAAGUUAACAAUUUCAUAACUAAUUUAAAGUUUAUUAAUAAUUUUUGUAUAUGCUAUUUACUUACUAUAAUUUAUGGUAUUGUAGUGCCAAAGACAAUCUUCCCAUUAUGAGUGUGGCUAUUAUGUUAUGAUACAUAUGUUAAAUAUUGUAUCAGCUGGGAUUGUUAAUACAUAGAAUCAAAUAUUUGGAGAUUCAACCUCAUUUCAUGAUGAUGAAGUUACGAAUGUUCAAGAACGUUGUGCAAAUUUUAUUUUAGAAUCCAUUUGAAGUAACUUGGUUAGGUAAAAAAUGGCAAUCAUAGGCCGGUGCCAUUUGUUUUUGUGCUUCUUUGUAGGCGUCAUAGUUUGUUUAGUUUUGCGUAGACUAGCUAGUGUUUUGAUACUACUUUAGUUAGGUUUUGGCAAGAGUUUUUAUUAUUUAUGGUACUGUUUGUGACAUCAUUUCUUGAAUAUUUUAUAAAUGAUGGAAUUUAUUUAAAAUA
Vicia villosa (hairy vetch) is the source of this 508-nucleotide long non-coding RNA. RefSeq lists it as uncharacterized. The transcript is spliced from 2 exons. NCBI's taxonomy places the organism in Eukaryota, Viridiplantae, Streptophyta, Magnoliopsida, Fabales, Fabaceae. The record is from RefSeq and is a predicted model, not a curated record.